AGCCUCCAAACAACUAGAACGGAGCUUCUGAAGAGCUCUCGACCACCUCAACCUGGAGAAGGAGAGCAUGCCUUCCAGAAUAAUGGAAAUGAAGAAGAAACCCCAGCUUCAAGAAUUUGGAUGGUUCAGAGGCCAUCGGCGGCAAAAGUUACUGACCAAAGAACUGCCUAUGGUGUUUGGUGAGGUGGACUAUCCCAGCAGAAACCACAAGAAGUAACUGUUUACCUGGGUGGUGAAGAGCACGGCAGUUACCAAGGUGACCACCUGCAGGACCAAGCCACUGGAGCACAGCACUGGCCACUGG
Molecule: long non-coding RNA, 304 nt
Organism: Tachyglossus aculeatus (Australian echidna)
Lineage: Eukaryota; Metazoa; Chordata; Mammalia; Monotremata; Tachyglossidae
Exons: 3
Source: RefSeq, a predicted model, not a curated record